RNAcentral lists this unclassified non-coding RNA (378 nucleotides) under plant metagenome. Its description in RNAcentral is "partial contains 5.8S ribosomal RNA, internal transcribed spacer 2, and large subunit ribosomal RNA". The stretch from base 1 to 105 matches the Rfam family "5.8S ribosomal RNA", at positions 50 to 154 of the family's 154-position model. The record is from RNAcentral.
GAAAUGCGAUAAGUAAUGUGAAUUGCAGAAUUCAGGGAAUCAUCGAAUCUUUGAACGCACCUUGCUCUCCUUGGUAUUCCUUGGAGCAUGCCUGUUUGAGUAUCAUGAAAUCUUCAAAGUAAAUCUUUUGUUAACUCAAUUGGUUUCUACUUUGGUAUUGGAGGUCUUUGCAGCUUCACACCUGCUCCUCUUUGUUCAUUAGCUGGAUCUCAGUGUUAUGCUUGGUUCCACUCGGCGUGAUAAGUUAUCUAUCGCUGAGGACACUGUAAAAGGUGGCCAAGGUAAAUGCAGAUGAACCGCUUCUAAUAGUCCAUUGACUUGGACAAUACUUUUAUGAUCUGAUCUCAAAUCAGGUAGGACUACCCGCUGAACUUAAGC